GCCGGGCGUGGUGGUGCACGCCUGUAGUCCUAGCUACUUGGGAGGCUGAGGCAGGAGAAUCGCUUGAACCCAGGAGGCAGAGGUUGCAGUGAGCUGAAAUCACACCACUGCACUCCAACCUGGGUGACAGAGCGAGACUCCAUCUCAA
Molecule: non-coding RNA, 148 nt
Filed under: Pan troglodytes (chimpanzee)
Lineage: Eukaryota; Metazoa; Chordata; Mammalia; Primates; Hominidae
Source: Rfam by way of RNAcentral